UACGUAGGGUGCAAGCGUUAAUCGGAAUUACUGGGCGUAAAGCGUGCGCAGGCGGUGAUGUAAGACAGAUGUGAAAUCCCCGGGCUCAACCUGGGAACUGCAUCUGUGACUGCAUCGCUGGAGUGCGGCAGAGGGGGAUGGAAUUCCGCGUGUAGCAGUGAAAUGCGUAGAUAUCAGAAGGAACAUCAGUGGCGAAGGCGGCUUCCUGGACCAAUACUGACGAUCAGGUGCGAAAGCGUGGGGAGCAAACAGG
RNAcentral lists this ribosomal RNA (253 nucleotides) under uncultured bacterium. RNAcentral's name for it is "partial 16S ribosomal RNA". It matches the Rfam family "Bacterial small subunit ribosomal RNA", at positions 524 to 776 of the family's 1533-position model. The record is from RNAcentral.